CCUACGGGAGGCAGCAGUGGGGAAUAUUGCACAAUGGGGGGAACCCUGAUGCAGCCAUGCCGCGUGAAUGAAGAAGGCCUUCGGGUUGUAAAGUUCUUUCGGUAGCGAGGAAGGCAUUUAGUUUAAUAGACUAGAUGAUUGACGUUAACUACAGAAGAAGCACCGGCUAACUCCGUGCCAGCAGCCGCGGUAAUACGGGGGGUGCGAGCGUUAAUCGGAAUAACUGGGCGUAAAGGGCACGCAGGCGGUGACUUAAGUGAGAUGUGAAAGCCCCGGGCUUAACCUGGGAAUUGCAUUUCAUACUGGGUCGCUAGAGUACUUUAGGGAGGGGUAGAAUUCCACGUGUAGCGGUGAAAUGCGUAGAGAUGUGGAGGAAUACCGAAGGCGAAGGCAGCCCCUUGGGAAUGUACUGACGCUCAUGUGCGAAAGCGUGGGGAGCAAACAGGAUUAGAUACCCCAGUAGUC
Molecule: ribosomal RNA, 465 nt
Filed under: uncultured Haemophilus sp.
Lineage: Bacteria; Pseudomonadati; Pseudomonadota; Gammaproteobacteria; Pasteurellales; Pasteurellaceae
Description: bacterial SSU rRNA
Rfam family: Bacterial small subunit ribosomal RNA
Source: RNAcentral